Long non-coding RNA from Daphnia magna, 891 nucleotides. RefSeq lists it as uncharacterized. NCBI's taxonomy places the organism in Eukaryota, Metazoa, Arthropoda, Branchiopoda, Diplostraca, Daphniidae. The record is from RefSeq and is a predicted model, not a curated record. The transcript has 4 exons.
AAAGGUCCGAGGUUGGACUCGAGUCACUGAGACUGUGUUGGCUGUACCAGGUAAUUUGAAAGGUAAAAUCGCUCGUAACAAAAAUUGGGGCGCUAAAAGGACUUUAUUUCAAUUACCCAAAGGGUUUCUAACCGGGAUUUUUUUUUGCUGGUAUGGUUGUUUUUUUUCUGGUGUGGGUGCAUUUAGUUCUCGAUUGCCCAUUAGGUGGUUUUCGCCGAUUAGGCAGGCGAAAAUAAAAAAUAAUAAGUUUUCACGUGAAGGAUAGGGGUAUACUUUUUAAAACGCCAUUAGCGAGUCCUUUCAUAUGUUGUAUAGAAAUCGGUCGUUCGAAAAUACCUGAUAUGGAUGCAAAUUGCAAAUAAAAGAGCUCGUCUGGAUAAAAUAUACGAGCAGAGGAAGCAGUGUGAAAAACGAAAAGAGUUAGCAGGAAGGACUGUGGAAUCUUAUGAGAAAUUAGUAGAUUGAAGUAUAUCGUGUUUGGUACUUCUUUGAUACCUUGUUUGACAGAUGUUUUCAAUCAAAAACCAUUAGUUGCAGUUCGUACAUAUAUUCGGGAAAACCAAUUUUACCAAUAGCUCAACACAAUCUUCUACUUAGGUUAGGGGAAUAUCAUUUUCUAGUGUUAUUAGUAAUAUUUAUAAUUUGGGAAUCUAAUUUAAAGUCAUUUAUACUGUUUUUUUUAUAGGAAGUGAACAGGUUUUUUAUUUGAAUAAUAACCUAGUUUUUUUUAUUUCAAUAAAUCAUCCCCAUAUUUGAUAUAUCAGACUCAGAAAAUAACCUAAAUCAAAUAUAAAACAAUAAGUUUCAAAAUAAAAACUAAAAUAUCAAGGUAUCAUAUUAUGUAUCCUCUAAUUCUAAAAUUUAAAACAAGAAAAAAGUGAAGAUAGAAAA